CUGCAAUAUCUAAGAUUAUUUAAUUCUGCUACAGAAAAUAAGCAAAACCCAGUAUAGAAGCAAGUAGCUUGCCUUAGACUGAAUGUUUGUGUUCCCUCAAAAUUCCUAUGUUGAAACCCUAACCCCCCAUGGCAUGGUAUCGGAAGGUGGGGCCUUUGAGAGGAGAUGAGGUCAUGUGGGUGGAGCCCUCAAGAAUGGGAUUCAUGCCCUUAUAAAAGCGACCGCAGAGAGCUCCGCUGCUCCUCUGCCAUGUGAGGUUACGAUGAGAAGAUGGCCAUCUGUGAACCAGGAAGCAGCUCCUCACCAGACACUGGACCUGCUGGCACCUUGACCUUGGACUUCCAGCCGCCAGACUGAUGCAACAAGAAUGUUACUUAUAUACAGAAAAGGAUGGAAGGAGCAAGUCAUAAGGAAGAUUAACCUUGAGCUAACAUCUGUGCCCAUCUUCCUCUAUCGUGCAUGUGGGACGCCUGCCACAGCAUGGCUUGGAGCCUGAGACAGCCUCCCAGUGCUUCUGAGCAUUGCCACUGCCAGAGGGGAAGCUCCCCAGUCAGCUGAUCCAAGAAGCCUCGCCAAUAGCUCCAUGCAAAACGGAUCAUUCCUGUUCCAGUUGAGAGUAAUGAGCAAGGCAUCCUCUCUGUUCAGGAAGAGGAGUCCACAGGCCCUUUCUUUCCAGCACCACCGUGAUUAAUUCAUUAAUGAUUCUUCAGACAAGUUUUAUUCCGGCACUUUGGGACAGGGCAGUGAGUCAGAGGUUGGCAUCAAAACCAGAAUAGAAGCCAUAAUCCUCUCGGGGGAUCCUACUCUGGGCUUUAAAUUCCCAGAUCACACAACUUCCUAAUUGGAAAGAAAUGUUCUUAAACAAGACCAUGGGUUCGCCAGGCCUGACAGUGACUAAUAAGGUCGGUCUAAGGACUGUCUGAUGAAAGGGAAGCUGGAUUUACAUGUCACAGUGAAUUUUUAAAGUAGUUCCACCCGGAGGUUUACUGCUGAAUAUAAAUAAAAUCUCUCUCCUUGGGCAAUCCUCUCCCGACUCCUGCAGACAUGCCUUGUUAAUUAAAUUAACUUUGAAAUGACAUUCAAACAAUGUCUUCCUUCCAAACGCCUUUGUUUUCUCCAGGAUCUACUUAUUGACAAGCUGUUUCCUAAGGUUCCUGUGUAAACUGAGUACAUUUCCCACCUGCAGCCUGCAUACUAAUUGGAGACAAGUUUUAUCAUCUCUAUAGUUGGUAUUGGGGAGCUCUCACAUCGUAGUCAUUUCACUGUGUACCAAAUGGCCCACACACUUACAAUACCGAUAAACAAAAUUAUCUAGGGUGUUUACAUAGAAUCCGGAUAAACACAAAAUUUAAAUCUCGUUUGCUGAAAUUUACACAUCUGAAGGCUAAUCCCUGUGUUGAGGAGAGGAUUUUUUUGUUGUUGUUAGUCUCUUUCAAAAAUCAGGCUUUCGCGUUCGUAAUUACAGCAGCUCUUGCCUUAAAAACAUUAAUUCCAAAGCGGCGGCUCCCGUCCGGGGUGCGGGCGCGCAGGCGCGGACACGCACACGUGGACACACACACACUCACACGCGCCCGCCCACACCCUCUUCCGUGUGACUCGCUUGCGGGAUUUACGGGCUUCGCCGCCGCGGAUUACUGUCAGGUGCAGAAAGCAAGUCUUUGUUCGGCGGGCAUUUUCCUCCCCCCGGAUUUGACUGUUAUUUACCGGCCACGUGAGCGCUGGGCGGGGGUCGGGCCGGCGGGGAGGCGCCCCAGG
Long non-coding RNA from Equus caballus (horse), 1755 nucleotides. The record is from Ensembl. Lineage: Eukaryota; Metazoa; Chordata; Mammalia; Perissodactyla; Equidae.